AUUGAACGCUGGCGGCAGGCCUAACACAUGCCAGUCGAGCGGAUGAAGGGAGCUUGCUCCUGGAUUCAGCGGCGGACGGGUGAGUAAUGCCUAGGAAUCUGCCUGGUAGUGGGGGAUAACGUCCGGAAACGGGCGCUAAUACCGCAUACGUCCUGAGGGAGAAAGUGGGGGAUCUUCGGACCUCACGCUAUCAGAUGAGCCUAGGUCGGAUUAGCUAGUUGGUGGGGUAAAGGCCUACCAAGGCGACGAUCCGUAACUGGUCUGAGAGGAUGAUCAGUCACACUGGAACUGAGACAACGUCCAGAAUCCUACGGGAGGCAGCAGUGGGGAAUAUUGGACCAUGGGCGAAAGCCUGAUCCAGCCAUGCCGCGUGUGUGAAGAAGGUCUUCGGAUUGUAAAGCACUUUAAGUUGGGAGGAAGGGCAGUAAGUUAAUACCUUGCUGUUUUGACGUUACCAACAGAAUAAGCACCGGCUAACUUCGUG
RNAcentral lists this ribosomal RNA (484 nucleotides) under uncultured bacterium. RNAcentral describes it as "partial 16S ribosomal RNA". It matches the Rfam family "Bacterial small subunit ribosomal RNA", at positions 30 to 507 of the family's 1533-position model. The record is from RNAcentral.